This 1116-nucleotide ribosomal RNA is filed under the name Enterococcus hirae. RNAcentral describes it as "partial 23S ribosomal RNA". It matches the Rfam family "Bacterial large subunit ribosomal RNA", at positions 1 to 1065 of the family's 2925-position model. The record is from RNAcentral. Lineage: Bacteria; Bacillati; Bacillota; Bacilli; Lactobacillales; Enterococcaceae.
AUCUGUGGUCAAGUUGUUAAGGGCGCACGGUGGAUGCCUUGGCACUAGGAGCCGAAGAAGGACGUUGGAGCCUGCGAUAAGCCUCGGGGAGUUGGCAACCAAGCUGUGAUCCGAGGGUGUCCGAAUGGGGAAACCCGGCUGGAGUCAUGUCCAGUCACCCGCAUCUGAACACAUAGGGUGUGUGGAGGGAACGUGGGGAAGUGAAACAUCUCAGUACCCACAGGAAGAGAAAGCAAUCGCGAUUCCGUGAGUAGUGGCGAGCGAAAGCGGAUGAGGCUAAACCGGUCGCGUGUGAUAGCUGGUAGGCGUUGCGUGGUCGGGGUUGUGGGACCUCUCGGUUUGGGCUACCACCUGGACGAGGAGUGAGAAAGUCACGUCAUAGUCGAAGGGUCUUGAAAGGCCUGGCAUAGAGGGUGUUACCCCCGUAGACGAAAUGGCGUGGUCUCCUGAGAGGGAUCCCAAGUAGCACGGGGCCCGAGAAAUCCCGUGUGAAUCUGGGGGGACCACCCCCUAAGCCUAAAUACUCCCUAGUGACCGAUAGCGGACAAGUACCGUGAGGGAAAGGUGAAAAGUACCCCGGGAGGGGAGUGAAAUAGUACCUGAAACCGUGUGCCUACAAUCCGUCGGGGCCUCCUUGUGGGGUGACGGCGUGCCUUUUGAAGAAUGAGCCUGCGAGUUAGUGGUGCGUGGCGAGGUUAACCCGUGGGGGGUAGCCGUAGCGAAAGCGAGUCCGAAGAGGGCGUUGGAGUCGCGUGCUCUAGACCCGAAGCGAAGUGAUCUACCCAUGGGCAGGUUGAAGCGCGGGUAAGACCGCGUGGAGGACCGAACCCACCAGGGUUGAAAACCUGGGGGAUGACCUGUGGGUAGGGGUGAAAGGCCAAUCAAACUUCGUGAUAGCUGGUUCUCCCCGAAAUGCAUUUAGGUGCAGCGUCACGUGUUUCUUGCCGGAGGUAGAGCUACUGGAUGGUUGAUGGGCCCUACAAGGUUACUGACGUCAGCCAAACUCCGAAUGCCGGUAAGUGAGAGCGUGGCAGUGAGACUGCGGGGGAUAAGCUCCGUAGUCGAGAGGGAAACAGCCCAGACCACCAGCUAAGGCCCCUAAGCGUGUGCUAAGUG